UCAAACUCUAGCUAAUGCGACAAGAAGUUCUUGGUUAUUCAGAUCUCAGAAAGACGAGAGCUUGGAUGGGGGCUAACAGGUUGAAGGAAUUACAGAGAGCUGCUACUUUGAAAUGCUUUAUAAAGUCUACUUGAUGGUAUUUACAUAGAGACUGAUUGAAAUUUCAUCCUUUUCAUGUACAUGAUGGCUUUGUUUUCUAUCAAACUUCCAGCAUCAGGCUCCAUAAAAUAAGAAUUGAUAGAACUGCUUUUACAGACGAUGAUAAAUCGUUGACAGAGAAACACAGAGGUAGACACAACAGAAAUGAAAAAUUAAGUCAUAUCUACAGGUAACAACUUUUAGCCAUGUCAAAAAUUUGGGACUCAUGAUCAGUGGGUUUUUGGAUCAACUCCAACAGGUUUUCUCAAGUUUUCACUUUUGAUAUGAUAUGUCUCAUCCUUAAAUUAUUGUAGAUUGAUUUCAGGAUGUAGCUUCUCCAGGAUAGCGUGGAUGAACAAGCAUGCAAGGAAUAGUUUUAUAGCAGGGAGCAAAUUUUUCUAUGCUUGAAUUCACUGGUUAUGAAAUUGCUUCUUUUGUUUAUAUAUGUUAAAUUGGCUAUUUAGUGAUGGGACCGUGCUUCACUUUUUGUGUUUGUAUAUUAAUAGGCUUUCUCUUCAAGGAUUAUUGUUAUUUACACGUCUCAUUUAUACAUCUCAGGUAGAUGUGUUAAAAUUUAACACACGGGCGCAUGUCUCAAUCCUAAUUUUGUUGGAGUAAUUUGAAAAUGGAACUCUUUUGGAGAAGGUGCAUAUGAACAAAUCAACAAGACUGUCAUUUUUACAGCUAUCUUAGGGAAUGUGAUUUGAAGAUGGGAGAAAAAUUUACUGUUCUUGAAUUCACAAUUGUGAGCUUGUAUUAUAUACUCAGAUAUAAUAUGUAGUCUUCUAUGUCAUAAUCUAUAAAACAAAAUU
This is a non-coding RNA of Nicotiana tabacum (common tobacco), 950 nucleotides long. The record is from RefSeq and is a predicted model, not a curated record. NCBI's taxonomy places the organism in Eukaryota, Viridiplantae, Streptophyta, Magnoliopsida, Solanales, Solanaceae.